AUGCUUUGACGACUUUUCUAAGUUAUUAUAACGAUGGUCAAAUGGACUGUCUGUUGUGGAUUACACGCAUAAUAACAUUAUUUAAAACCGUUUGAUUUAUUGCAAAUACAAAUUUUAUAUUGUUAAAAGGAGAUAUGAGGUGAAGGUCAAUGAGACGGCAGUUCAAUGACAUUUACAGUCAUUAUUAUUUGUUCUAUUGUUGUACUGUUACACAACUGUCAUAGCUUAGGAGAGGAUAUGGCGACAAUCAAUCAAUUUAACCUCGCCCCAUUUUGUUAUGUGCCUGUCCCGGUAUGUCAUCAGUCUGUAAAUCGGUAGUUGUCUUUUACUGUUGUACAUCAUAUUUGUUU
RNAcentral lists this long non-coding RNA (350 nucleotides) under Mytilus galloprovincialis (Mediterranean mussel). The record is from RNAcentral. Lineage: Eukaryota; Metazoa; Mollusca; Bivalvia; Mytilida; Mytilidae.